GGCGAGUGAAGCGGCAACAGCUCAAAUUUGAAAUCUGGCCCUUGUGGUCCGAGUUGUAAUUUGCAGAGGAUGCUUCUGGCGCGGUGCCUUCCGAGUUCCCUGGAACGGGACGCCACAGAGGGUGAGAGCCCCGUAUGGUCGGCCGCCAAGCCUGUGUGAAGCUCCUUCGACGAGUCGAGUAGUUUGGGAAUGCUGCUCAAAAUGGGAGGUAAAUCUCUUCUAAAGCUAAAUACCGGCCAGAGACCGAUAGCGCACAAGUAGAGUGAUCGAAAGAUGAAAAGCACCUUGAAAAGGGGGUUAAACAGUACGUGAAAUUGUUGAAAGGGAAGCGCUCGUGACCAGACGUGCGCCAGGCGGCUCAUCCGGCGUUCUCGCCGGUGCACUCCGCCUGGCGCAGGCCAGCAUCGGUUCUCGCGGGGGGAUAAGAACGGUGGGAACGUGGCUCCCCACGGGGAGUGUUAUAGCCCGCCGUACGAUGUCCUCGCGGGGACCGAGGUUCGCGCAUCUGCAAGGAUGCUGGCGUAAUGGUUACCAGCGACCCGUCUUGAAACACGGACCAAGGAGUCGUCCAUUAGAGCGAGCGUUUGGGUGUCAAACCCGCACGCGUAAUGAAAGUGAAACUUAGGUGAGAGCUUCGGCGCAUCAUCGACCGAUCCUGAUGUUCUCGGAUGGAUUUGAGUAAGAGUUUUAACGGACGGACCCGAAAGACAGUGAACUAUGCUUGUAUAGGGUGAAGCCAGAGGAAACUCUGGUGGAGGCUCGCAGCGGUUCUGACGUGCAAAUCGAUCGUCAAAUAUGAGCAUGGGGGCGAAAGACUAAUCGAACUGUCUAGUAGCUGGUUACCGCCGA
This 849-nucleotide ribosomal RNA is filed under the name Melanconium elaeidicola. Its description in RNAcentral is "eukaryotic LSU rRNA". It matches the Rfam family "Eukaryotic large subunit ribosomal RNA", at positions 88 to 964 of the family's 3401-position model. Lineage: Eukaryota; Fungi; Ascomycota; Sordariomycetes; Diaporthales; Melanconidaceae. The record is from RNAcentral.